RNAcentral lists this ribosomal RNA (446 nucleotides) under uncultured bacterium. RNAcentral's name for it is "bacterial SSU rRNA". It matches the Rfam family "Bacterial small subunit ribosomal RNA", at positions 329 to 792 of the family's 1533-position model. The record is from RNAcentral.
GGCCAGACUCCUACGGGAGGCAGCAGUGGGGGAUAUUGCACAAUGGGGGGAACCCUGAUGCAGCGACGCCGCGUGGGUGAAGGAGUGCUUCGGCAUGUAAAGCCCUAUCGGCAGGGAAGAAGCAAGACGGUACCUGACUAAGAAGCCCCGGCUAACUACGUGCCAGCAGCCGCGGUAAUACGGAGGAUGCGAGCGUUAUCCGGAUUUAUUGGGUUUAAAGGGUGCGCAGGCGGAAUGUCAAGUCAGCGGUAAAAUUUCGGGGCUCAACCCCGUCGUGCCGUUGAAACUGGCGUUCUUGAGUGGGCGAGAAGUAUGCGGAAUGCGUGGUGUAGCAGUGAAAUGCAUAGAUAUCGCGCAGAACUCCGAUUGCGAAGGCAGCAUACCGGCGCCCAACUGACGCUGAAGCACGAAAGCGUGGGUAUCGAACAGGAUUAGAUACCCCAGUA